This 578-nucleotide ribosomal RNA is filed under the name Trigonopterus sp. 279 AR-2022a. Its description in RNAcentral is "SSU rRNA". It matches the Rfam family "Eukaryotic small subunit ribosomal RNA", at positions 23 to 579 of the family's 1831-position model. Lineage: Eukaryota; Metazoa; Arthropoda; Insecta; Coleoptera; Curculionidae. The record is from RNAcentral.
GUCAUAUGCUUGUCUCAAAGAUUAAGCCAUGCAUGUCUCAGUACAAGCCGAAUUAAGGUGAAACCGCGAAAGGCUCAUUAAAUCAGUUAUGGUUCCUUAGAUCGUACCCACAAUUACUUGGAUAACUGUGGUAAUUCUAGAGCUAAUACAUGCAAACAGAGCUCCGACCGGAGACGGAAGGAGUGCUUUUAUUAGAUCAAAACCAAUCGGUGGCGGGUUCGCUCGUCAUCGUACAACUUGGUGACUCUGAAUAACUUUACGCUGAUCGCACGGUCAUCGCACCGGCGACGCAUCUUUCAAAUGUCUGACUUAUCAACUGUCGAUGGUAGGUUCUGCGCCUACCAUGGUUGUAACGGGUAACGGGGAAUCAGGGUUCGAUUCCGGAGAGGGAGCCUGAGAAACGGCUACCACAUCCAAGGAAGGCAGCAGGCGCGCAAAUUACCCACUCCCGGCACGGGGAGGUAGUGACGAAAAAUAACGAUACGGGACUCAUCCGAGGCCCCGUAAUCGGAAUGAGUACACUCUAAACCCUUUAACGAGGAUCAAUUGGAGGGCAAGUCUGGUGCCAGCAGCCGCGG